Molecule: long non-coding RNA, 2756 nt
Organism: Cyprinus carpio carpio
Lineage: Eukaryota; Metazoa; Chordata; Actinopteri; Cypriniformes; Cyprinidae
Source: Ensembl
AUGGAGAGCCAGAGGACGAGUUCGACUAAGAGGAGUUGGAAGGGGAGCAAGGGGAGGAAGAGGAUGAGUCAGAAAUGGAGGAGGACAAGGAACAAGAAGAUCUCAAAUGAGAUUAGGGCUACAGUAGUCGAUCAUGUGAUAAACCAUGGUUUAACAAUGAGAGAGGCUGGACUGAGAGUCCAGCCUAAUUUGAGUAGAUUUACUGUGGCGGGUAUAAUUCGAACCUUUAGAAAUGAGAACAGUGCACUGCAUUGGUCAGAGAAGGUUCUUUCCACGGUGUCUGGCAAGAGAGAAUAUAGCAUGUGACGUGGAUGAAGUAUUGUGGCCGGACCCAGCCUGGAGGAGAGCCUAGAUACACCCAACCAUCUCCACAUGCAAGCACACACAUUAUGUUUGGUUUUACACUACAUGCUACAACACUACAUAUUUUUGAUGUGUUUUUUUUUCUUUUCAAACUGUGUACACUAAUACUACAUUUACAACCACAAAGAGCAAAAAAAAAAAAACAUAAAACGUUUGGUUUCAAUUUUGCUUUUGUUUUUCACUUUAUAUAUUCAACAGCUCUCUCCCAAUUACAUUCAAUCAUGUACAUGUGAGCUUUUAAAAGAAGAGCUUUAGGUUUUGAAUAACAGUGUGUAUAUGACAUAAUCAAAAAUAUAACAUUAUGGUAAAGGUGUUUACAACGUAAGACAAAUGUUUGCUUUUGAAAUAUGUUUGUGAUAUUUUGACUGUGGUGUUUCAUUUUGAAAGAGAUGUGAGGCAUUUUGCAUCUUGUGUGUGCAAUUCUUGAAUUUGUGUGUUAAGUUUUGAAAAAAAUAGGAAACCUUUGGAAAAUGUUUGUAAGCAGUUGAAAAAAACUGUAAAAACAAUCAAGCCCUGCUCAUAUUUAAAAAGUAACGUGAAAGUAACGCAAAAGUAAUGUAACACAUUACUUUCCAAAAAAAGUAACUAAGUAACGUAUUUAGUUACUUUUUUAGGGAGUAACGCAAUAUUGUAAGGCAUUACUUUUAAAAGUAACUUUCCCCAACACUGGAUAACACUCUCUAAACCUUACUCCUUCUCUCCUCAUCCUCCACUUCUUACAUGUACUCUUCCUCCUCUCCUUCUCAGAUUGUUUCCAUCUAUUGUUUGUAUCAUCAUUCAGUCACCUGUGCCAUUAGUGCACUCUGAACUGGCUCAUAUUUUGAACAGUUGGUUUGAUCACAUCAUUAGAAACAAGUGUGAAAAAUUUUGAAUCGUGUGUAUACGAUGACAACUGUUGUGUUUAACUUUUGCCGCCUGUGGUUAGCAUUUUGCAGCACAAAUGCAUCACAGUGUAAGUGUUUAAGUGAAUGAGAAUGUGUUUAGAGUUUUGCAAAAAGAGUGCAUGAGAUUUGCAAAUAGAGCCUAACUGGAUGAAUGUGUUUAAAGUUUAGCAGAAAGAAUGUUUUAUACGACAAAUUGGUUUAAGCUACUGAGAAUUUGGUUCAGAGAUUGGGGUUUAGUGUUUUAGCAAUUCAGAAAAACUGUAAUGAGACCGCAUACUUGGAUGAGGUAGAGAAACUUACAUCAUGGUGCCAGGACAAUUGUCUCUCUCUGAAUGUGAGCAAAACUAAAGAGCUGAUUGUGGACUUCAGGAAGAGACAGCAGUAGCCCUAUACUCCUCUUAUGAUCACCGUGACCCCUGUGGAGAGGGUGAGCAGCUCCAAGUACCUUGGUGUAAACAUCUCCGAGGACCUGACUUGGACUACACACAUUCAAACACAGGUUAAUAAAGCCAGGCAAAGACUGUACCAUCUGCGACAGCUGAGGAAAUUCAGGGUCUCACCAGCAAUCCUGAAUACUUUCUAUUCAGGGGCCAUAGAAAGUGUAUUGACUCAGUGUAUAUCAGUGUGGUAUGGGAACAGCUCCAGUCAAGACUGCAAAGCCCUGCAGAGAGUUGUGCGCUGAGCGCAUCUCAGGGUCUGCUCUCCCCUCUCUGCAGGACAUCUACCUCAAACGCUGCAAAAACAGAGCUGUUAAAAUCAUCAAGGACCCCAUCCACCCCAGUAACCAUCUUUUCACUUUGCUGCCAUCUGGUAAGCGCUUCCGUAGCCUGAUGGCAAAAACCGAGAGACUUAGGAGGAGUUUCUUCCCCAGGCCAUCAGGCUCCUAAACUCAAAACUAGCCUCUUAACAUCUUCAUGUCUCCACUUAAUAUUCACUUUAUCAGUAAGAUAUUCAUCAUUCUCUACCUCACAUUGACAUACUGACAGUGUCAACCUGUUUGCACAUUUGCCUCUUGUACAUUCCUGUGUAUCUUAAUAUUUAAGACUACAGUAUUAUGCACAUUGCUUCUUGUACAUCCCUGGGUAUCUUAAUAUUUAAGACUACAGUGUACUUUCAUGUACAUUAUUUUCCAUUCUAUAUUUAAUUCUACAGUAUACAUCUUUUUUAUAUGUUAUUCUUAUAUUUUUAUUGUUUACUUUUAUUUCAUUCUUUCAUAGCCAUAUUUAUGUAUAUUUUCAUCUGUGUUGUAUUCUUUAAUAAUUGCGCUGUCCAUGGAGCGGACCUGACUCACAUUUCACUGCUGGUUAUAUAUGCUCUAUAUAAUUGUGUAUGUGAAAGAAAAAAAAAAAAAAAAAAAAAAAAUUUUAUUUUGGAAUACCUGAUUGCACUGCAUUUUAUGUAUUACUGUAUUUUAUGUAAAAUCAUUUUCUAGUUUUAACUGUCUUAAAUAAAAAAAUAAAAAAUAAUCAUUUUUAAAGUUUUUAAAUUCCUUGUUUUAUUUUUGUGACU